AGUGAACGCUGGCGGUAGGCCUAACACAUGCAAGUCGAACGGCAGCACAGGAGAGCUUGCUCUCUGGGUGGCGAGUGGCGGACGGGUGAGGAAUACAUCGGAAUCUGCCCAGUCGUGGGGGAUAACGUAGGGAAACUUACGCUAAUACCGCAUACGACCUUCGGGGGAAAGAGGGGGAUCGCAAGACCUCUCGCGAUUGGAUGGGCCGAUGUCGGAUUAGCUAGUUGGCGGGGUAAUGGCCCACCAAGGCGACGAUCCGUAGCUGGUCUGAGAGGAUGAUCAGCCACACUGGAACUGAGACACGGUCCAGACUCCUACGGGAGGCAGCAGUGGGGAAUAUUGGACAAUGGGCGCAAGCCUGAUCCAGCCAUACCGCGUGGGUGAAGAAGGCCUUCGGGUUGUAAAGCCCUUUUGUUGGGAAAGAAAUCUUUCAGGCUAAUACCCUGGGAGGAUGACGGUACCCAAAGAAUAAGCACCGGCUAACUUCGUG
RNAcentral lists this ribosomal RNA (490 nucleotides) under uncultured bacterium. Its description in RNAcentral is "partial 16S ribosomal RNA". It matches the Rfam family "Bacterial small subunit ribosomal RNA", at positions 29 to 507 of the family's 1533-position model. The record is from RNAcentral.